RNAcentral lists this long non-coding RNA (639 nucleotides) under Olea europaea subsp. europaea. The record is from RNAcentral. Lineage: Eukaryota; Viridiplantae; Streptophyta; Magnoliopsida; Lamiales; Oleaceae.
AGAAGAUCAAAGAUUUCAAGAAAAGGGAAAAAAAUACCAUUAGUGCAAUCACAAACUUCUACUAAGCCAGCGUCCAUACCGAAAUGCUUCUUUGAAAUUCAUUGUUCUUCCGUCGACAAUUUGGGCUAGAAGAUGUAGCUCCAGUUGGAACUGCAGUGGUCCUGUUCGAGCUCUCUUCCCUUAUGAAGAUUUGAAAUGGAAGGAAAACAAGGGCAUUUGAAAUGGAAGGAAAACAAGCGCAUUACUUUUUGAUUCCGUCAAUUUUGUCUGGGAGAAGAUCUGAAGAUGCUCCAAUUCGAAAAUAACUCUCUCUCCCGUCAUCAUAAAUGAAAUGGCUCCUUUAAUUUUUUUGGAUGAUUUUUUAGGCCAAUUUCUAUUCAAAAUAUCGCCAGCUGUCCAUUCGGUAGUCUCUUAUGUAAGGGAUGACGUACCAGCAGCACCACUCUAAAUAUUCUAUUAUUAUAAAAUUCUUUUAUCGUGCAAUAAUAUUUCAUGCUAAUCAAACAAAAGGAAAUGCAUUCUCUUAUGUUUUCACUUUUACUUUCCCUUUUCCGAUUUUCAACCCUAGUUUACUUGAGCCAAAUCUUGGCUUCCUUCCAGUUUCUUCAAUCGUAACUUCUCAUUCAAAAACGAUUUUCG